GUGGGGAAUUUUGGACAAUGGGGGCAACCCUGAUCCAGCCAUGCCGCGUGCGGGAAGAAGGCCUUCGGGUUGUAAACCGCUUUUGUCAGGGAAGAAAUCCUUUGGGUUAAUACCUCGGAGGGAUGACGGUACCUGAAGAAUAAGCACCGGCUAACUACGUGCCAGCAGCCGCGGUAAUACGUAGGGUGCGAGCGUUAAUCGGAAUUACUGGGCGUAAAGCGUGCGCAGGCGGUUUUGUAAGACAGGCGUGAAAUCCCCGGGCUCAACCUGGGAAUUGCGCUUGGGACUGCAAGGCUGGGGUGCGGCAGAGGGGGAUGGAAUUCCGCGUGUAGCAGUGAAAUGCGUAGAUAUGCGGAGGAACACCGAUGGCGAAGGCAAUCCCCUGGGCCUGCACUGACGCUCAUGCACGAAAGCGUGGGGAGCAAACAGGAUUAGAAACCCUGGUAGUCC
This 450-nucleotide ribosomal RNA is filed under the name uncultured bacterium. RNAcentral's name for it is "partial 16S ribosomal RNA". It matches the Rfam family "Bacterial small subunit ribosomal RNA", at positions 354 to 796 of the family's 1533-position model. The record is from RNAcentral.